CUUCCCAGCAACGAUGCAUCUAGCAUCAUGAGCACAUCAUCUUUAUUGGGGAAGAACAGAUGUUUACUCUGUAGAUGGGGUCUUCUACGCAGCCAUAGCCUUCAACUUACCCUCCUCUGCCUCAGCCUUCUCAACUACGGGAUCCCGGCACACUUCUCGGCCCCUGGAAGCAAAGGCUCUUGGGCCAUGUAGACAGCCGUCCACGGGUUUCAGAGGGGGAGAUAUGGACAUCUGGGUUGUACCAUUUUGCCCACCACCAUCAAUGUGCUCCCCCAG
Mastomys coucha (southern multimammate mouse) is the source of this 276-nucleotide long non-coding RNA. RefSeq lists it as uncharacterized. The record is from RefSeq and is a predicted model, not a curated record. Lineage: Eukaryota; Metazoa; Chordata; Mammalia; Rodentia; Muridae. The transcript has 2 exons.